Non-coding RNA from Cricetulus griseus (Chinese hamster), 74 nucleotides. NCBI's taxonomy places the organism in Eukaryota, Metazoa, Chordata, Mammalia, Rodentia, Cricetidae. The record is from Rfam.
GGAGAGAUGGCUCAGUGCUUAAGAGCACUGGCUGCCCUUCCAGAGGACCUGGGUUCAGUUCCCAGCUCACACCU